ACAGCAGUCGCCGCGGUAAAACGAAGGGUGCAAGCGUUAAUCGGAAUUACUGGGCGUAAAGCGUGCGUAGGCGGUGAGUUAAGUCUGCUGUGAAAUCCCCGGGCUCAACCUGGGAAUGGCAGUGGAUACUGGCUCGCUAGAGUGUGUCAGAGGAUGGUGGAAUUCCCGGUGUAGCGGUGAAAUGCGUAGAGAUCGGGAGGAACAUCAGUGGCGAAGGCGGCCAUCUGGGACAACACUGACGCUGAGGCACGAAAGCGUGGGGAGCAAACAGGAUUAGAUACCCCCGUAGUCCCUGUCUCUUAUAC
RNAcentral lists this ribosomal RNA (305 nucleotides) under uncultured bacterium. Its description in RNAcentral is "partial 16S ribosomal RNA". It matches the Rfam family "Bacterial small subunit ribosomal RNA", at positions 508 to 807 of the family's 1533-position model. The record is from RNAcentral.